This 252-nucleotide ribosomal RNA is filed under the name uncultured bacterium. Its description in RNAcentral is "partial 16S ribosomal RNA". It matches the Rfam family "Bacterial small subunit ribosomal RNA", at positions 524 to 776 of the family's 1533-position model. The record is from RNAcentral.
UACGUAGGGUGCAAGCGUUAAUCGGAAUUACUGGGCGUAAAGCGUGCGCAGGCGGUUUUGUAAGUCUGUCGUGAAAGCCCCGGGCUCAACCUGGGAAUUGCGAUGGAGACUGCAAGGCUUGAAUCUGGCAGAGGGGGGUAGAAUUCCACGUGUAGCAGUGAAAUGCGUAGAGAUGUGGAGGAACACCGAUGGCGAAGGCAGCCCCCUGGGUCAAGAUUGACGCUCAUGCACGAAAGCGUGGGAGCAAACAGG